Molecule: RNA transcript, 1450 nt
Organism: Fragaria vesca subsp. vesca
Lineage: Eukaryota; Viridiplantae; Streptophyta; Magnoliopsida; Rosales; Rosaceae
Gene name: endoplasmic reticulum-Golgi intermediate compartment protein 3-like
Exons: 12
Source: RefSeq, a predicted model, not a curated record
CUCUCUCACACCAAACCAAACCAAAAGGAAGGCCAAAACUUGAGACGCCCCGUUCGUCAAAUUUUCCCCUCUCAAUAAUAAAAUCCCAGUAGGUCUCUCCCUUUCUCUUUCAAUUUCAACGGGGCUCUCUAUCCCUUAGUUUUAUUUUCAUUUUCAAUUUCAAUUUCAAUUAGAUUUCAUUAGGUUUUCUUAGAUCGAGAACAACAAGAUCGCAAGCUCGAUUGUUAGGGUAUAGCAGAGACCAUGGAGAAUAUGAUGAGCAAGCUCCGGAAUUUGGACGCCUAUCCCAAAAUCAACGAAGAUUUCUACAGCCGUACCCUCUCCGGCGGCGUCAUCACCCUCGCCUCCUCCGUCGUUAUGCUCCUCCUCUUCCUCUCCGAGCUCCAAUUAUAUCUACAUGCGGUGACGGAAACGAAGCUUGUGGUGGAUACUUCGAGAGGAGAAACCCUGCGUAUCAAUUUCGAUGUAACUUUUGCUGCGCUUCCUUGUUCUAUACUCAGUCUUGAUGCUAUGGACAUCAGUGGAGAGCAGCACCUUGAUGUAAAACAUGACAUUAUAAAAAAAGAAUAGAUUCCCAUGGAAAUGUUAUAGAAUCACGGCCGGAUGGAAUCGGUGCUCCCAAGAUUGACAAGCCUUUGCAGAGACAUGGUGGCAGACUUGAGCACAACGAGACAUACUGUGGUUCCUGUUAUGGUGCUGAAGCGAAUGAUGAGGACUGCUGUAAUAACUGUGAAGAGGUCCGUGAAGCUUACCGAAAGAAAGGUUGGGCCAUUUCAAAUCCAGAUUUGAUUGACCAGUGCAAAAGAGAAGGAUUUAUGCAAAGGAUUAAAGAUGAAGAAGGUGAAGGAUGCAAUAUAUAUGGAUUCUUGGAAGUCAAUAAGGUGGCUGGGAACUUUCAUUUUGCACCUGGGAAAAGCUUUCAACAAUCAAAUGUUCAUGUACAUGAUUUGCUGGCGUUUCAAAAGGAUAGCUUUAAUAUAAGUCACACAAUCAACAGAUUGUCUUUUGGAGACUACUUCCCUGGUGUUGUCAAUCCUCUUGAUGGGGUGCACUGGACACAGGACAACCCAAGUGGGAUGUAUCAAUAUUUUAUCAAGGUUGUUCCUACUGUGUACACAGAUGUCAGUGGGCACACUAUCCAGUCAAAUCAGUUCUCUGUCACUGAACAUUAUAGGGGUACAGAAAUAGGCAACCUUCAGUUCCUUCCUGGAGUGUUUUUCUUCUAUGACCUUUCCCCGAUAAAGGUAACUUUCACAGAGGAGCAUAUUUCAUUCUUACACUUCUUGACAAAUGUGUGUGCCAUUGUUGGAGGUAAUUACUGAAUGAUUAUUAACUUCCAAGUAUUCUUACGCUGUAGAGUAAUCUCCUAGUUUCCUAGCCUUGUGUGAACAUUUUAAAGACUUGUUAACCUUGGCAACAUGGUACAUUCUAGGGGUUCCUUUCUGUCAAU